RNAcentral lists this ribosomal RNA (449 nucleotides) under uncultured bacterium. Its description in RNAcentral is "bacterial SSU rRNA". It matches the Rfam family "Bacterial small subunit ribosomal RNA", at positions 29 to 524 of the family's 1533-position model. The record is from RNAcentral.
AACGAACGCUGGCGGCAUGCCUAACACAUGCAAGUCGAACGAGACCUUCGGGUCUAGUGGCGCACGGGUGCGUAACGCGUGGGAAUCUGCCCUUAGGUACGGAAUAACUCAGGGAAACUUGAGCUAAUACCGUAUAAUGACUUCGGUCCAAAGAUUUAUCGCCUAAGGAUGAGCCCGCGUCGGAUUAGCUAGUUGGUGAGGUAAAAGCUCACCAAGGCGACGAUCCGUAGCUGGCUGAGAGGAUGAUCAGCCACACUGGGACUGAGACACGGCCCAGACUCCUACGGGAGGCAGCAGUGGGGAAUAUUGGACAAUGGGCGAAAGCCUGAUCCAGCAAUGCCGCGUGAGUGAUGAAGGCCUUAGGGUUGUAAAGCUCUUUUACCCGGGAUGAUAAUGACAGUACCGGGAGAAUAAGCCCCGGCUAACUCCGUGCCAGCCGCCGCGGUAAC